Molecule: small RNA, 99 nt
Filed under: Drosophila guanche
Lineage: Eukaryota; Metazoa; Arthropoda; Insecta; Diptera; Drosophilidae
Source: RNAcentral
ACGCUGUUGCUGCUGCACUCGUUGCUGCUGCUGUUGCGCCGCCUGCUGCUGCUGUUGCAACUGCAAUUGUUGUUGCUGCUGCUGCUGCUGCUGCUGCUG